Triticum aestivum (bread wheat) is the source of this 1463-nucleotide RNA transcript. RefSeq lists it as uncharacterized. The record is from RefSeq and is a predicted model, not a curated record. The transcript has 6 exons. Lineage: Eukaryota; Viridiplantae; Streptophyta; Magnoliopsida; Poales; Poaceae.
AAAAUCUGAAUCAUCUGGAGGAACAUGUGUUCUUGCGUUAUCUUGCUGGAUGUAGAUGGUUCGAUUGUCUUCGGGCCACUGUGCUUCAAUGGCUGGAAUGACCUUUUCACAUAGUGCGCACCGGAUCUGGUUCUUCUUCAUGGAGAGUGGGCUUCAGACUGUUUGUGUGUUUCCUUAUCUUUCCCCAUUUGAACCUUCUCCGCAAGGUAGAAUAUGGUACAUCCAGAGACCUAGCGAGUGCCCUCAGUGUAGACCUUUUGUUGAGGGGAAUUGAAGGUAUCCUCGAGAGAUCAAGGAACUCAGUUAACAACAUGUUAUUGGAACUACUCCAAGAACAGAACAGAAUGGCAUGUUAAUGUCAGUUAACAACAUGUUAUUACUUCCAAGAACAAAACAGCAAAACAAAAGGUUUUGAUUUGCUUGCAGAUUUGUGAGUGUGAUCUUCAGAGUGAUUUGACAGUCUUCAGAGUGUGAUCACCAUUUCCUUGAUGAACACAACAGAGAGGAACCAGUUGACAGGAACAUCAAAGGAUCAAGAGGACAGUAGCCGCUGCCCGCUGCGUCGAGAGGAUCAAUAGGAGCAGCAGAUUACUCACAGUUCAAAUCGCUCCAGCCUUGUGGUAUUUAGAGCACAAAUUCACGCCAAGAGGAGCAGAUGAUCAAUUUGAGUUGUCGGAGCUAUGAACGCCGGAGCAGCGGCGAAGGGUAAGGGAGCUGCGGACGCGGAGCAGCGGCAGAGGGUUAAGGAGCUGCGGACGGCGGAGCAGCGGCGGACCUUGGGCUCUCGAUUGGAGCGGAGGGUGGCGCCGGCGAGGGACCUGCGGCCGACGGGGAAGGAUGUCGAAGUUGCGGCGGAGGGUGAGGGAGCUGCGGACGGCGGAGCAGCGCAGCAACGGCAGACCUCAGUGACGGAGCUCUCAAUUGGAGUGGAGGCAGGCAGCCGGCGGGGAAGGACAACGGCGCUGCGGCGGAGGGAGACAGAGCUGCGGAUGGCGGAGCAGCGCAGCAACAGCCGAAAUCAGGCUCUUGAUUGGGGCGGAGGUAGGCGGCCGGCGGGGAAGGACGGCGGAGCAGCGAAGGAGCUUCCAAGCCACGGGACGAGGGCCAGGAUGGAGAAGAUUCAAAACUGGGAGGACCUUUUUGCAAAAUGUUAUUUCUAUAGCGCUCGCGACAAGUAAUUGGAACCGGAGGGAGUACUGACUUGCUUUGAUUAGCUGUAAUACCUAGUGCUACAUUUUACUUUGUCACGUUACUCAAAGAGUGCCCUCGUCAGAUCUUACCUAGCGCUGGAAAAGUGCGGCGUACACUGCCCCUGUGGCACACCGCUUAGUUUAUGACCUGAUUGUCGUUUUUAUCUUUAUUGCAUGCAGGCCCGCCUCUGUAUUGGGUUUGUCGUUAUUUUUAUUGUAUGGGAAACGCUUAAAAUUGGCCGGCUGGCAGAAAGCUAAGCUGAUCUCGUGCGU